This is a small nuclear RNA of Rhipicephalus microplus (southern cattle tick), 198 nucleotides long. The record is from RefSeq and is a predicted model, not a curated record. Lineage: Eukaryota; Metazoa; Arthropoda; Arachnida; Ixodida; Ixodidae.
AAUGCUUCGAAGUUUGCCCCGUAUUCCUCAAGAAGCGGCGGAGUGAAAGCGAUCGAUGUUCAGAUGUGUCAGAGACACACGGAUCCUAUUUGGAUCCAAGAUAUUAAACUUAUUUUUGCAAUGCGGCGGAGUGCUUGAAGCUUGCUUCACCUCCGCCACGGGUUGGCCCGGUAUUGCACUGCGGAUUGUCUACACAUU